RNAcentral lists this long non-coding RNA (1112 nucleotides) under Brachypodium distachyon (stiff brome). Its description in RNAcentral is "long non-coding RNA (BDIS_LNC003544)". The record is from RNAcentral. Lineage: Eukaryota; Viridiplantae; Streptophyta; Magnoliopsida; Poales; Poaceae.
CGAGGAGGGUUUAGCAGCAUCCCUAGGUGAUUACGCUUAUGUUCUUGUUGUUUAAACAAAUUUUGUCCAGUGAGGGAGAGAGUGCAGGUUAACCUUUGAGAAUUUAAGCUUCAGAGAAGAAGAGUUGACAGAGGUAAAGAAAGCUUAUGUCCUUGUUGUUUAACCACUUGGAUGGCUUGGUGAUAAAUCAGUUUCAGGCCUUGUGUAUAAUAGCAGGCUGUGUCAAAUUAGAAAAUCAUUAGUUCUAUUAAAGAGUAAAAUCUGGGAGUAUGUAUGUCGUACACACUACACAAGCUUGUAUUUGAUCUAGGACUGCAAUUGCUCACAAAAAUCCUUGAUAUAAUUAAGGCGGUGUUGCUUCAUAUGUUGUAUGCUUGUUCAGUACAACAGAUCUGUAGUGUGGUACAACUAGCAACAGGCUUAUAAUUUUUGGUUCAGAGAAAUGGAUGCACUGGAGUAGCAUAUAUGUGUAAGUUCAAGUUUCUGUACAAGUGCAUGGCUGUCUAGACAAUCUUAUUCGUUCAAAAAAUUAUUCACGUAGAGCCAGGGACAUACCUGUUUAUGUGUUUUUCUGUUUGCUGACAUGUUUAGGUACAAAAACGGAGUAUAUCUAAAAACCAAUCCUUGAUAGCAAUCACUUGGGUUCUUUUCCUUGUGGGGUUGGGUGGAUUUGUAGAGGGACGUGGGAGAAUUAUCCUAAGCCAUAUGGUCGAGGAGGUGGAUGCACACUUAUAAGCUAAAUUUGUUUCAUUUUAAAACUCAGCUGCAUGUCAUUUCAUGUUGGUCUUUUGGAAGGAAAGACAGUGCAUAUUAUGUGGUACAAAAUUCGAAGCUAAGUUCUUCAGAUAAAAUAUCGUAUAUGGCGUGUAAGUUCUUCAAGUAGAUAUGCAUUGCUUAUUUGAGUGUUAAUUUUCUACUCUUCUGUAUAUGUAGGAUGGUUAAAUCCAAGCUUUGAUACUUCAUUUUAAUUUUAAUUUUUUUUUCCACAAGUGAUGCUUCAUGUGAACGGUGAUCAAACCUGACCACAUUAGCACAUAAAUUACUAUUGGUUACCAUGCAUCUUCUACAUAAAUUUCUACUCUGAAUGUCUAAAGGAUGGCAGAACUGCAUGU